UUAUGUCAAAGGAAGUAUUUAUGAUUGCUUACUCUUUUUCACAUUAAUAUUUCUGUAUAAAGUCAGCAACAAUUUUGUAGGCAUCAGUAGUUGUUUAUAAUGCUUACCGUAGAGCUUUCAUGAGCAUUACAGUGACUCAGAGAAAUCACGAAAGAAGGGUAACACGGGUUUUCAUAUUCAUUAGCUGUUGGUAUAGCGAUUAUUGGCUAUCCCUUUUAUGAUCAAAACACAAGACACAAGCUAUUUUAUAUAUCCUGAUGGUAAGGAUAUCAUAAGUGAAGAAUGAAGACUUGACAAGAUCACAUGUGCCUAGGUAACUGGUGCAUAUGCAUCUGAUGCUUUUCAUUGAGAAUUCUACAUAUCCUGAUGGUAAGGAAAUCACAAGUGAAGAAUGAAGACCUGCCAAUAUCUCAUGUGCAUCAGGUAGUUCAUGCAUAUGCAUCUCAUGUUUUUCACUGAGAAUGGCAGCUUUGCUUGUCAUCCUAGAUCAGAUGAUACCUCUUGGUGUAUCUGUCCUAAUCUAUUGGGUCUAUAUGUAUGCAUGUCUAAAUGCUUUUGUUAUUUGUGUAUCAUUAGUUUGAAUUCCCCUGUUUGAAUUCAAAUCCCCUUUAGCAAAACAUUUGUCGUUGCCUUGGUGCUUCAAGUUAGUCUAGGGUUGUGUAGUGUUUCCAACCCGUGACCACAUGACUAGAGCUUAGAGGCUCCAGCUAGGCUUGUGAUACACAAACUAAUAUAUUAGCUGGCUAUUUGUUUUUAUCUCAUAUACAUCAGGUAGUUCAUGCAUGUGCAUCACAUUCAUUCAGGAUGGCAGCUCUGCUUGAUAUCCAGAUUUGGUGGAUACCCCUGUUGUAUCUAUCCUAAUCUCUGAGUCUGACUUCGUGCAGAUUUAAAUGGUUUUGCUUCAGCUUUUCAGUAUUUGAAUUUCAAAUCUCUUUUAGCAAAACAUUUUUCAUCGUGCUUGAGCUCCAAGUUAGUCUAGGGUUGUGUUGUUCUUCCAACCCAUGAGCACAUGACUAAAGCACUUUUAGGUCAGCUCCUUUUUGAGUCCAGCUGGGUUUUGUGAUACACAAACCAAGUCAGCUGCUGAGCCAUGUGAUGCACUGCCCAAGCUAUCAGCUGGCCUAUGUGUCCUCAUAUAGGAAUAGGUUUUGUUGUGUCUCCUUCAUUCACAAAACCUUUUGUUUCUUUCUUAUUGGACCAUUAUCAUAUAAGAGAGUUGUGUUUGUCUUUACUCUCUUGGAGCCUUUUGUUUGUCCCUUGGCCUUCUCACUUUAUGAGUUUGGACAAGGACUAAAAUCCAAAAGUUGCCUCUCAUUUUGGUAAACGGGCAUGCUCUCCUUUAGCUUGCACUUUGCCUAUAUAUAUGGAGCAAGUCUCUUCUUGCUCCUUGGUUGUUCAAGAUGUAGUUUUCUACAUAGUUUUAGCUGGGUAUAGGUUUUACCUUGCAUUGCUCAUUUGCCUCUAAGUCUUCCGUUGGUGAUUGUAAAUCUUAGAGCAAGAGCAAGAGCAAAAACUCUUUUCAUAAACCCAUUAGCAUUCUGCAUAUCAUGAGUGAUGGUAGUGCAGCAACCCCAGAAGUACUCAAGAAGGAUCAGUUGAUCGAGGAGAGCUGAGUUCUAGAGAGUCAGUUAAAGGUGUUAGCUGAGGUCUGAAGAAUCUCUCUAAUUAGGAUAGCUGAGUUCUGAGUUGAGUAUUCUGAGAAGUGUUCAAGAAGAAUCAGUUAAAGGCAUUAGCUGAGUUCUGAGUUGAAACUUCUUCUUAUACCUUCAUAUGUAAACACUUGAGAGACAAGAGAGGUAGAUCUAGACUAGUAGGUAGACUAGGCAGGAUAGCAAGUCGUUGUUGUAUCCCUAGACUAUAAUCUUGUGAGGAGUGAGGUGAGUCACUCAGAGACAAGAGAGAUAGAUCUAGACUAGUAGGUAGACUGGGCAGGAUUGCAAAUCGUCGUUGUAUCCCUAGACUAUAAUCUUAUAAGAAGUGAGUUUUACAUAGUGGAAAGGUUUGUCCCUCAAGAGUUAGGGCACACAGUUUUUCUCCCUGGUGCAGGGUUUUUGCGAAUAAAAAACGUACUGGUGUUAUUUCUUUUACUUUCCAGUACUUGUUCUUUUAUUUAUUACUACGUCUCCUUGUUAUCAGGAUAGCUAAAUGUUUGCUAUCCUUGUGAACGAAAUUGGACGAAAAAGUAAUAAAGGCCUAUUCACCCUCCCUCUAGAACCUUCAUUAGCUCUCUGAAGAGCUGUUGAUUUUCUAAGUUCUAUGAUCUCAGGUCUCUCUUGUAGGAAACUUCUUCUUGUGCUAGACAAGCCAGCAGCAGCAUGUUUGAUGUUGCUUUGUGCUUUAGUACCACGACAACUUCUAUUUCUCCUGUAAAGCUGCGAUGCUGAGGUAGAUUUUCUCACUGUUUUUGAGCAUGGUGGAAAAUCAUCAAGGCCUGCAAUAUAAUCAUCAUCAUUUAUGUCGUCAUCUUCGUCCUCGUCACCAUCAUCUUCAUAUUCAUCCUCAUUACCCUCAUCUUCAAAACCAACUCCAUUACUCGCAUCACCCUCAUCUUCAUCCUCAUUACCUUCAUCAUCCCCAUCAUCAAUCUGCAUCCUCCUAAGAACCUCAUCUUCAUCCUCAUUACCCUCAUCAUCAACCUGCAUCCUCCUAUGAAUCUCAUUUUCUCGUGUUAGGAGUCUUCGUGUGGUAAAGGUACCUCUCCCAUAUUUUUCAUUGGAACAACCAUCUUUUCCUGUCAAAGAUGAGAAAUAAUCGUCUCUGUCAAUCUGUCUUUCACUUGGUAAUGAACUAUGAUAUAUAUGGUAUCUUCUGCUGGAUUUACUCCAAGCAAAUGAGAUUAAAAAGUUAACUGAUGACUGAUGAGUACUAAUAAGGUGGAAGUUCCAUAUUCAACAUAUGCAGGGUAGGGGAAAAUGAGAACUGGAAACAAUAUCCUGAUGUCAUUAGUCAACAAUCAACAUAAAUGAACACUUCAACAACUUAAUUUCAAACCAUAAUGUACUACUUUUAUUUCUCUCUAAUUAGACAAAAAAUCUUUUAUUACCGCCAUGUAAUAAUGUCUCUGAUUUAUGCGCCUUUCAAACCAGAAAAAUGGAACCUGAAUAAUAAAUCUCUAGUGCUUACUGCACAAACAUAACCAAAUUCACAUACAUACCUCCAUAUACAUUGUGCUCCUCAUUUCUGCUAGAACUUAAUGGAAAAUCAUAGUUAAUCUCGAUAUUAGUCCUAUCAUAAAGCCAUACUUUGAAACACGAUUUUUUGCCUUCGUAAAGUGUAAAGUGUAGCCAUGUUCGAGGGAAUACACUUCCGCAAAUUCUGGCCUACCUCUUUCUGCCCACAUCUCCCCCUUGGACAUCGUCAGUUGCAUUGGAUAUGCUUUUCCAUUUGGAACCUCAAGCAUUUUUUAAUCAGACUAUAAGAACAUGCUAAUAACAUCCGCUAUAUAUGAGCUAUGUCACAUAUGAGCUUUCUGCUGGAUCAUUAGUUAGCAGUUACCUAUGUCUCAGCAAAAGGAUGAACAAAAUCUCUCGUUAUCGAAGUGAGGUAUAGAAGCAUACAUACUUGUUUGUUCUUCACUCAAGAAUGUACACUAUAUGCUUGUGGCGGUUUGAACAAGUAAAGUUGAGUACAGUAAUAUAUGCAUGAUUCAAUUCAGCUCAUGGUUUAUGACUCUUGAGAUGCAUAGAUGCAUUUGUAGGUGAUUUUUAGCUAUUUCAACUGUGAGCGAACAAUGAUUUUGUUCAAAACGGGGAAUCAAACAAAAGCUGUUGGGACAGGAAUUAGCAGUUAAAGAGUUUAUGACCUCCAUGGCCUGGCCUCUUGAACAAGGCAUGUACUGAGUUACAACCAGUAUAUACCAAUGUUCUAAUACCAAUGAGGCAAUAAUUAAGUACUACAAUCCAUAAUAACACAUAAGCUGAUCAGAACAUAAGUUUAGGCUCACAAAUCACAAUAUGAACGAUCAUAAAGUUUAUUCAAAGUUCAAACAGAAGUUUUACUGAAAAAAUACCAAUGUUUUAAUACCAAUACGGCAAUAAGUAAUACAAUCCAUAAUAAUACAGCCAAUUAUCAUAACAUAACUGUAAGGCUCACAAUAUGAACGAUCAUACAGUCAACAGCUGCAAAGUUCAGACAUAUGUGUUGCCGAAAAAGUGAACCACCAUGCAAACAACCGUCUUGUUUGUGCUCUCAAGCUCAAAAACACAGACUUUACCAUUAUCGACUUUGUUAUCUUUUUUAAAAUCAGGCCAUCCAGCAUUCACCCUUAAAGAACUCUUAAAAUGGUAACCAGUACAAUUCCACGUUGCUCCCUCUGAAUUUUUCAGGAUGAAUGUGUAUUGUCGCAAAGGAAGAUGCUUCUUUCUGAACUUUGAGGGGAUAACCUGCAAUGAGUAACAUUGUUUGUGUCAGUUGAAACCUUAACAAAUGAAGAGGCAGAGGCAGUGGUUUUAAAUGAUACAGAACAUAUGGGGAAUGAAAGCUGGUAAUGAUAAUUUUGGUUGCUAGAUUACUAACCAAAUAAAUUUUUUCUUAAUGAUUUCACAUACACAUUCCUAAGAUUCGAUCAGUCUCUACUAUUUGGUCUGGUGUCUACUAUUUGGUGUGGUAAAGGUAAACACACACACACACACACACACACACACAUCUAUACUGAUCUAGAAAUACAAAUUGGAGGCAUUGAAUAGGCAAGGGUAACUAACUGUUUAUACUUCCUAAGUUUAAGUAUCUAGAAUAAAUGUUUACCAUUCUGUUUUGAACUCUCAGAUCAAGAGACUUAAAAAUCAAACAAAAGGGAAGACAAAGACAAAGAAAAGGAUGGUUCAUCUUACCAUAUAAUUACCACCUUUAAGAAUGACUCUAAAAGUGGGGUACCUGGAUAAUGCAGCGAAUUCCUCAGAUUUAUUGAAAGGGCAUAUCCUACACAUAGUUAGAUAAAUUAGCAGAGCAGUGAGGUAUUCCAGUAAUACUAUGUAUUUCUGCAGUAUAUACCUGACCAUACCUGAACUAAGAGAACUUCGAACAAGUGCUCCGAUCUGAACGCUCAAGUAUGUCUGAAUGCUGAAAUGCAUUUUACCAUCAUAUUCGAGUACCAGAAACUCAAAGGCACCCUUACCAUCCAAGGAGUUAUCAUAUAAAAACUCCUCCCAGCCCUCCUUGAAACAUAAACCGCCUUCUUCAGUUUUAUGUACUCUUACAUUCCAUGCACAAUAGGUAGAAUUCUUUAGCUUGAAAGUUGCCCUUUUAAAGAGUUCAUUCACCAUACGGUUUCGGAUAUGUGGUGGGAUUGUCUUCAACAAAAAGGAAUAUCAGAAGCUAAAACUUAAAACUAUAUAUAUGCAUAUUGAUGGAAUGUCUUCAAAAAUUGAGAAAAACACUCACCAAACAAAAUGCAGACCAAGGCCUAAUCGUGAGGCAUGUAAAAGCAGAGAUUUUCUUUGAAUCAAAAGCAGCAGAUAUAUAUGUGGCACACCAGUCAACAAUAUUG
RNAcentral lists this long non-coding RNA (5485 nucleotides) under Fragaria vesca (wild strawberry). RNAcentral's name for it is "long non-coding RNA (FVES_LNC003532)". Lineage: Eukaryota; Viridiplantae; Streptophyta; Magnoliopsida; Rosales; Rosaceae. The record is from RNAcentral.